UUAAUUUUUUUCGAAUUAUACUAUUCCGAAAUUUAAACCCUAAACCCUAAAACUCAACUCUAAACCCUAAACCAUCAAUCCUAAACCCUAUAUUUUUUUUGAAUUACAAACCCUAUACCCUGAAACAUCAACUCUAAAUUCUAAACUCUAAACCCCGAAACAUCAGCUCUAAACCCUAAAACCUAAACCUUCAACUCUAAGCCCUAAAACAUCUAACUCUAAACCAUAAACCCUAAACUUCAACUCUAAACCCUAAAACAUCAACACUAAACCCUAAACCCUAAAAAUUAAACUCUAAAGCCUAAACACUGAAAAAUUAACCCUAAACCCUAAAACAUCAACUCUAAACCCUAAACCCUAACCUCUAAACCCUAAACCCUAAACCCUAAAACCUUAGAGUUGAUGUUUUAGGGUUUAGAUUUGAAGGGUUAUGGUUUAGGGUUUCGGGGUUACGUUUAGGGUUUAGAGUUGAUGUUUUAGGGUCUACAUUUGAAGGUUUAAGGUUUUAGGGUUUAGGGUUCGAAUUUCAGAAAAUAUAGGGUUUAGGGUUUACGUUUAGGGUUUAGAGUUGAUGUUUUAGGGUUUAGAUUUGAAGGUUUAGGGUUUAGGGUUUAGUGUUGAUGUUUCGGGGUUUAGGGUUUAGAGUUGAUGUUUCAUGGUUUAGGGUUUAGAGUUGAUGAUUUAGGGUUUAGAGUUGAUUUUUUAAGUUUAAAUUUAGGGUUUAGGGUUUACGUUUAGGGUUUAGAGUAGGGUUUAGAGUUGAUGAUUUAGGGUUUAGAAUUGAUUUUUUAAGUUUAAUUUUAGGGUUUAGGGUUUACGUUUAGAGUUUAGAGUGAUGUUUUAGAGUUUAGGGUUUAGGGUUUAGGUCAUGGCAUGAAGUUAGAUCAACCACAUAAUAGAAUUUCAAAAAAGAGGUCUCCUUCAUGCACAUAUAUUAUUGUGAUUGGGAAACUCUUCCAGAACACCAAGUGCAGAAGAAGUGGAUGAGAUAAUUUCAGCCGAGCUCCCAAACAAAGAGAAAGACUCAGAUGCUUACAAUUUAGUCACAAAACACAUGAUCCAUGGUCCAUGUGGUCUCAUUAAUCCGAAGUCACCGUGUAUGGAAAAUAAUAUGUGCACGAAAAAGUAUCCUCGGCCGUAUAAUGACAACACUUCGAUUGACAAAUCAGGAUAUGUAUUAUAUCGUCGGCGCCGAAACGACAAUGCGUAUGCGGUAAAGGCUGGGGCAAUCCUAGACAACACCUUUGUUGUACCUCAUAACAUUAAGCUUCUAAAAAAAUACGAAGCUCAUAUUAAUGUUGAAUUGUGUAAUCGUACAAGCGCGGUGAAGUACUUAUUUAAGUACAUAACCACGUGUGUUGACCGAGCAACAGUUGUUAUUGAGAAAGGAAAUACAGAACCUACAUGUGACACCAUGGCCUCUGGCGAAUCAAAGGAGAGAGUCAUCAGGCAACGCAAUGAGAUCCAAGACUACGUCGAUGCUCGAUAUUUAUCAGCUUGUGAGUCUAUGUGGUGGACUUUCGUAUUCCACAUACACAAAAGAAAGUCAUCAGUUGAGAAGCUUAUCAUUCACUUAGAAGGCGAACAUAAUAUCACGGUUAAAAAAACUGAUAACCUCGGCCGUGUAAUCUGCAAAGCAGAUAUCAAGAAGACCAUGUUCACUGAAUGUAUGGUUUUAUGCAGAAGGUCAGAGUUUGCACGGACAUUAACGUAUGUGCAAAUACCAGAAUAUUUUGUAUGGAACAACAAUGCUAAGGUGUGGACUGAACGUAAGAAAGGCAAAACCAUUGGGAGAAUCGUAGCUGUUCAUCCAUCAGCAGGUGAUCGUUACUAUCUAAGGAUCCUCAUUAAUAAGAUUAAGGGUCCUAGAAGUUAUGACGAGCUCAAAACAUACAACAGUGUGAAAUAUCAUGACUUCAAUUCAGUUUGCUACGCACGCGGCUAUUUAGACAACGAUGUUGAAUGGCAUGAGAGUAUGUCAGAGGGUGCUAGAUGGGCUACCCCAUACCAACUCCGCGAUAUGUUUGUCACGUUCCAAAACAACUGCUUCGUUACGAGUCCUAAAAACCUACGGGAAAACUCAUGGAGAUCAAUGAGCGAGGACAUACUUCACAAGAGGCAAAGAAUUUUAGGUCAUACAAAUCUGGAGCUGGAUGAUGAUACCCUUGAGCAAUACACGUUAAUCGAAGUAGAAAAGUUGAUGCGCAUGCAUGACCGCUCAUUGGGUGAUAUUAAAGAGAUGCCAAAGAUUAAACAUGUUUUGCUAAACGAACUGGGAAACAAUUUUUGGAACCAAGAACUGGAUUACGAUAUUGCCGAGGAAACACUAAGACAUGACAUGCAAUUCAACAAACUUAAUGCUGAUCAACGUGCGAUUUACGAAUCAGUCUUAGACUCAGUUGAUAAAAUGGAUGGGAAGCUAUUCUUUGUAUAUGGCACAAGUGACACACGGAAAACAUUCCUAUACCAAACCAUUAUAUCAAGGAUUCGAUCAAGAAAACAGAUAGUUCUGCUGGUUGCCUCUUCAGGAAUAGCCGCACUGUUGCUACCUAACGGUAGAACAGCGCAUUCACGCUUCAAUAUCCCUUUAAAGCUCACCGAAGAUAAGCUCUGCAACAUCAAACUAAGAACAAUGCUGGCUGAGCUAAUCGAGAAAACGGAUCUUAUAAUAUGGGGCGAAGCACCUAUGACACAUAAGCAUGCUUUUGAGGCCCUCGACAAAACGUUGAGAGACAUAAUGUCUAGAAAAAAUCCUUCUACAAAGGAUAAGACUUUUGACGGCAAGACAGUUCUAUUAGGAGGUGAUUGUAGACAGAUACUACCAGUGAAUCCACAAGGUAACAGAGCUGAUAUUGUCUUAGCUUCAAUAAGUCACUCAUACCUAUGGGAUAGUUGCCACAAGUUCUCUUUAAAAACAAAUAUGAGAGUCAAUCAGGAAGAAAAAGAGUUCUCCGAUUGGCUCCUUCUGGUUGGGGAAGGUCAUCCACAAUUAGAAUCGCGAUAUGAGUGUGAAGACUACCAUAAACAAAUGAUAACUGUCGAUAAAUCAUUGAUUCGUCAGAGUUAUGUUGACCCAUUAAAAGAAGUUGUUGAUGCCGCAUAUGGAGAAGUCAACAAACAUACAAAUUCCCAGACCUCCUACACUGAUAAAGCUAUACUCACACCAUGUAAUGAAACCGUCGAGGAAAUCAAUGCUUAUACCAUCUCACAGACCGACGGGGUGUCAAGAGAUUACUUCAGCUCAAACAGCUUUGAGAUAUCAGACACUAAAUCAGAUCAAAAUGAUACAUUAUACGCCGUUGAGUAUCUCAAUUCAUUGGAAUUCUCAGGGUUGCCUUCGCACAAACUAACUCUGAAAGUUGGUGCCCCAGUUUUUCUUCUGCGAAACAUAAAUAAAAAAAAAAGGGAUUAUGCAAUGGCACCCGUAUGAUCCUAACCCACAUUGGUGACCGCGUGCUCAACGCCGAAAUUAUCACUGGCUCACACAUUGGAGAGGAAGUCUUGAUCCCAAGGAUUGUUCUUUUGUAUGAUGAAACAAAACUAUCGUUCACAUUACGUCGGCGGCAAUUUCCUAUCAGAUUGUGUUAUGCAAUGACAAUCAACAAAAGUCAAGCCAAAGUUUAAAAGAGAUCAUCUUAUAUCUGCCUAAACCGGUCUUCGCUCAUGGUCAACUUUAUGUGGCCCUCUCACGUGGACUUACACAUGGUUUUUACCCAGCUAUGCUAGGUAUGAAUCUUUUUAUAUAAAUAACCAUAGCUUGGUAUUUACUUAAAUUUAAGUUAGCUAACUUAUUCUUAACCAAUUUCAGGCUAUUUCUUUCUUAUGGUCCACAACGCAGCUUCUGAUCUUCAAAAGACUUGAUCUCUUUCUGACAUUAUUUAUGAUUACUUAGCUACUCUUUUUGUUUUUAAACAAUUGCAUAAACUCGAUAUUCACUAAUUUUCCAAACAUUUUGGAAAAUACAAUGCUUCCAUUCCGAACAAAAACAUUGAAACUUAUAAUCAAAAGUCGACUAUCAACACACUUUUCCGCGCAUCGCAGGGUGAGGAUAUGGUAUCAAUAAUAAAUUGUAAAUUUUUGCAUAUAUUGUGUAUAAAUUGGAUUGCUCAUUAGUUAGUAAUAUUUAAAUAUUUUUAGAGUUGUGUAACGUAAAACCAUAUGAAUACAUCUUGUAAUAUUGAAAAAUUGAACCAAUAUGUAAUGUACAAUCUCACACGUAAUAGUUUUUAAAUAUUCACAAUAUGUUGGAUUAUUCAAUUUACAUGGCCGUAUUGAGACACAAAAAAAUAUUUGGACAUGAUUUAUUUGACAUGGACCAUGCUUGUUGGUUAAUCUUUGUAGGCCUAAUAAUUGAUGGGUUUAUCGUCGACGACAUGUUAUUGGCUCUAAACAAUUGAGAACGAAAAAAAUAUCCAAUUUCUUAGUUCUAAUCUAUCAGCAAGCAAAACAAAAUAAAACUACUCAUCUUGUCUAUGUGAUUAAGAAAAAUGGAUUAGGGUUUACAACGUAAAAAUUCAACAUGUUUGACGUUUCCAGAAUCUUCUAAUCAAAUCUUACCCAGAUGAUUCUUCUAUUAACAAUUUGUGUUUCCUUGCUGUUGCUUCUUCAUCGACAUCAACCAUCAUCUCCUCCGACAGUCUAUCAAGUGAAUUAGCUUCUCCCACAAUUUUUGGGUUCUAACCUUGUCUUAUAUAGGUUGAAGAACAUACUCCGAGAAUAUAUGCCUAAGAUUUGCCAAUUAUUGGCAUAUAUUUAGCUUGUCAAUCACUCAAACAAUUAAUAUUUUUAUAAAGCAUUACAAAUUAAUCCUAGUCAUACAUUCGUUCUUGACUUUAAAGCAUUGUAAAGGUAUGAAAUAUAUUUAGGAAUCACCCUAAUAUCAUUGCCAUAUAUAAAGAUUAUCGUUCAGUUGAAGUAUUUCAUAUAGUUAAUACUAUAUAUAUGUUUUCCUAAAAUAAAAGAUGACGGCUUACACUGUAUUAACGGGAUGAAUACACAGUAUUAGGCUAUAUUUAUUUUUACCUUUCUUGCAUACAUCUGUAUCAAAUAGUAAACCAAUUUCUAUUCGGUAUGUUUAACGGUUAACCACAUUGUUCACAUUACAAUUCGGUUUGUGAUAACCGUUUUUCAAAUUUAUGAAUGUGACAUUUACUGCAUUUUUGUCUAAAUUUUAUCAAUAUAAUUUUCCAUUGAGUUUAUGUGUUUACAUAAAAUGGUUUAAUGGUCUUCUGUGGUCUCGGCAGGUUCUGAUAUCGUUGCACAUAGUAUGUAAAAAAAUGUUUACAAUAGUUUCUUAUAUACCCAUAUUUAAGUCUAUCUACGGUUUAGAUAGGUGCUCUUUUUAUAAUCUCAUAUGGAUAUGUUGCUUUAACUGCAUGUGAAAGAGGACGAGUAUGUAUGGGAAAUAUGAAGUUUACGUGUUUGUAACGUGCGCAAUGUUGGGUUUAUUAGAAAAUCUUGUAAAAUUUAAAUGUUUAAUAUUUAAUUUUAAUGUACAUGGGGAAGACAAUAGUAGGUUGAAUGGUAGUGACAUAUUUUGUAAAUAUUGUAGUAAAGAAAGAGAAACUAGUUAUUUAGGUUGAGAAUCAUUGUGAGAUUGACACCUAAGCAUGGCAUGUAUGUAGAUAAAAUUAAAUACUAAAUGUUACUCUUCCAAAAUGUAAAGAGAUUUUUUUUAUCAAGACCAAAAUCCAACCAAUUUAAUUUCCGUUGAACAAUAUUUACAUACAGUCAAAUCUAAAAAAUGUUUCCAACAAUAAAAAAGUUAUAAAGCUAUAAAUAGGGAUUGUUCAUAGUAACUAGAGAUAUCAAAAAGAGACAAACAUAGAAGAUACACAAGACUAAAAAAUAAAAGAUGGAGAAGAAGUGCAUGUGCAUGUUGAUGAUUAUGUUCAUUGCAUUGGCGUUGAUGCCAUUACCAGCAAUGAGUGAAUCAUAUGAAGCUUGUUAUGAAAGGUGCAUUCACUCGUGCCAAAUAUUUUUUUGAGGGAGUUGAAAAAUGCAUUCAUGAUUGUGUUGGUAUCAAAUGUCAUAAAACACAUGUACUCCCUCGGUAUGUAUAAUUCAUGUAUCAUAUGUAUAUACGUAAUGUGUGAGUAUGUAUGUAUGCAUGUCUAAAUGAGUUUUGGUGGUAAUGGAUUUACAGGAUGGCGACUAAAGAGAUGUUUCAAGAAAUUCAUACAUAGAGAGAUAUGUUAUUAAACACACAUGAUGUUUAAAUUUACUACUUUUUGAAUUAUAUAAUUUUGAAUAAUAAAAUUCCAUCAUUUUUAGAAUUCAGUUGUUUUCACAACAUCUUCUAUUGCACAUUUUUAAUUGUUGUGUUGUAUCAUAGAUCUUUUUGGUUCAUAGUAUGUCUAAAUUUACAUAUGGGCAUGUACCAUUUAGAGUUUCAGGCCAUCCAAACAUUAGAUAACUCAUUGCACCCAAUCUAAGAAUAUAAAAGAUUAAGAGUUUGAUUGGUAGAAUGUGACUUUAUUUUUUCUUUAUCUAGAAAGAGGCUAUAAAUUUUUGUGUUGUAAUUGUUGCUGUAGCUGUAAUUUCUAUUGCUAUAUGUUCUAAUUUAACUUUUAUAACUUUUAAUUAUUUAUUUAAAGCAUGAUUUGUAAAUUGAAGUUGUAGAAAGCACUGAGAUCAGUUACCAAUAAUCUCCUAAAAAUGUGAAAAUUGUUUUGUUUUAUGUGAUACUAGAAAUCUUCUCUAUUAAAAAAGAAUUACAAAAAAUCUAAUGUACCAAAAUCAUAGGAAAAUAAUUUCAUUAAUCAUUUAAUAUAACAUAUUUGAUAGCGUAAGAAUCAUGUAAAUGUUACGGUGUGUAACUUUAUUAAUAUAGCACAUAUAAUAUAGUAUAACUUUUAUGAAGAUUCUGCUAUAAAGAUUAUAAAUGCUUUGACCAAUGUUGGCUAAUUUUCAUGACAUAGACAAAAUGGUUUAUAGUUUUAUAUUAUACUGUUUCGAUCAAUUUGAUUAUCUUAAUUGCAACAAAAUGUCAUAACAUGUGAUAUACCAAGCUUUUAUAUUUGUUUGGUAGAUUUUUAUUACAAAAUAAGUUUAGUAAAAAGUUAAAAAAUUCCAUGAACAUAUGUCGUAAAUCACAUAUAUCUGGUUAGAUAGAUGGGCUUAGUAAAAAUAAAAUAAAUUAUAAUUAUAUUUAAUUAGAUAGAAGUAUAAGUUAGGUACAAUUUUCCACAAAAAUAGGAUAAAACAACAGUGACUUUAAUAUUAAUAACUGCAUAUUAAUAGUCACGUAUAUGUAUAUUUUCUUUAAUUUGUUAACUUUCUAAUAAAUAGGUUUAACAACAUUUUAAAGUAGAUUUUUAAGAAUGCUUUUUUUUAAUAGUAUAGAUAUUUUGUUAUGUGUUUUUCAUAAUUAAUAGUUUUAAAUUUUUAUUAUAAUAUUUAUAUGAAUAAAUACAUAAAAGGUAUAAUAUUUUUAAACCGAAAAAUAUAAAUGUAAAUAAAUUUUAAAAAUAUAAAUUGCAAAAAUAUUUAUUAGUUACAAAUAAUAAAAUAUAAAAAUUAUUAAAAAUGAAAAUAUUAAAUAAUAUAUAAUAUUACUUUUGUGUAAUAUUUGGUGUUAUAGUUGGAAAUGAUAAAAAAAAUAUAACACCAAAACACCAAAUUUGAUGUAAUUUUAACAUGGGAAAAUUUUAUGUUUACCACUUUCAUACUACCACUUUUCAUAUUAACCAUCACUAAAUGGACAUUUUCAAAAAUACAUUCUUCAUUAAAUGGCAAAAGACUCUUAUAUCCUUGUUCUUCAUAUAUAUAAUAAAUAAAUAUUUAAAUAUAUAAAAAAUAUUUAAAAAGAAAAAUUAUAUUUUUAAUUUUUUUCGAAUUAUACUAUUUCAAAAUUCGAACCCUAAACCCUAAAACUCAACUCUAAACCCUAAACCAUCAAUCCUAAACCCUAUAUUUUUUUUGAAAUACGAACUCUAAACCCCGAAACAUCAGCUCUAAACCCCGAAACAUCAGCUCUAAACCCUAAAACCUAAACCUUCAACUCUAAGCCCUAAAACAUCUAACUCUAAACCCUAAACCCUAAACUUCAAAUCUAAACCCUAAAACAUCAACACUAAACCCUAAAAAUUAAACUCUAAAACCUAAACCCUCAAAAAUUAACCCUAAACCCUAAAACAUCAACUCUAAACCCUAAAUCCUAAACUCUAAACCCUAAAACCCUAGAGUUGAUGUUUUAGGGUUUAGAUUUGAAGGUUUAUGGUUUAGGGUUUUGGGGUU
RNAcentral lists this long non-coding RNA (8238 nucleotides) under Brassica napus (rape). RNAcentral's name for it is "long non-coding RNA (BNAP_LNC025203)". The record is from RNAcentral. Lineage: Eukaryota; Viridiplantae; Streptophyta; Magnoliopsida; Brassicales; Brassicaceae.